Molecule: ribosomal RNA, 272 nt
Filed under: uncultured bacterium
Lineage: Bacteria
Description: partial 16S ribosomal RNA
Rfam family: Bacterial small subunit ribosomal RNA
Source: RNAcentral
UACGGAGGGGGCAAGCGUUGUUCGGAAUUACUGGGCGUAAAGCGCGCGUAGGCGGCGAUGCAAGUCAGAGGUGAAAUGCCCGGGCUCAACCUGGGAGGUGCCUUUGAUACUGUGUUGCUUGGAUCAGGAGAGGUGAGCGGAAUUCCGAGUGUAGAGGUGAAAUUCGUAGAUAUUCGGAAGAAUACCAGUGGCGAAGGCGGCUUACUGGUCCGAUACUGACGCUGAGGUGCGAAAGCGUGGGGAGCAAACAGGAUUAGAUACCCCGGUAGUCC